UACGGGGGGGAGCAAGCGUUGUUCGGAUUUACUGGGCGUAAAGGGCGCGUAGGCGGCCAGUGCAAGUCAGUUGUGAAAUCUCCGAGCUUAACUCGGAAAGGUCAACUGAUACUGCUCGGCUAGAGUGCGGAAGGGGCAACUGGAAUUCUUGGUGUAGCGGUGAAAUGCGUAGAUAUCAAGAGGAACACCUGCGGCGAAGGCGGGUUGCUGGGCCGACACUGACGCUGAAGCGCGAAAGCCAGGGGAGCGAACGGG
Molecule: ribosomal RNA, 255 nt
Filed under: uncultured bacterium
Lineage: Bacteria
Description: partial 16S ribosomal RNA
Rfam family: Bacterial small subunit ribosomal RNA
Source: RNAcentral